UGGUCCGUUGGUCAAGGGGUUAAGACACCGCCUUUUCACGGCGGUAACACGGGUUCGAAUCCCGUACGGACUAUUUG
Molecule: transfer RNA, 77 nt
Filed under: Streptococcus equi subsp. zooepidemicus MGCS10565
Lineage: Bacteria; Bacillati; Bacillota; Bacilli; Lactobacillales; Streptococcaceae
Description: tRNA-Glu
Rfam family: tRNA
About the family: Transfer RNA (tRNA) molecules are approximately 80 nucleotides in length.
Source: RNAcentral